Molecule: non-coding RNA, 71 nt
Organism: Schizosaccharomyces japonicus yFS275
Lineage: Eukaryota; Fungi; Ascomycota; Schizosaccharomycetes; Schizosaccharomycetales; Schizosaccharomycetaceae
Source: the annotation of a RefSeq genome assembly
GGCUUUGUGGUGUAGUGGUAGCAUACUCGUUUGGGUCGAAGUGGUCUCGGGUUCGAUCCCCGACAAAGCCC